Ipomoea triloba (trilobed morning glory) is the source of this 1027-nucleotide long non-coding RNA. RefSeq lists it as uncharacterized. The record is from RefSeq and is a predicted model, not a curated record. NCBI's taxonomy places the organism in Eukaryota, Viridiplantae, Streptophyta, Magnoliopsida, Solanales, Convolvulaceae. The transcript is spliced from 2 exons.
CGCCAUUCUCUUCAGAUCUACUACCUGUGGACGCUAACGCCGCUCACCGCCUAUGCUGUCAACUCCUCCGCUGCCGCCGCCGCCAUUCUCUUCAGAUCUGUUGCGAACUGCCGGACGUCGACACUACUCACAGCCAUUGCCGUCGUCUCCAUCGCCGACGCCGCUCCUCCACCAUUGCCGUCGUCUGAUAAGUUCCUUUUUUUUUGUUUAAAUUUUGUAUUUCAUUUAUUUAUUUUUAUUUAUUUAUUUCGAAUAUUAGUGUAUUUAUUUGGAAUAUUAUUAGUGUAUUUGAUUUAUUUCCUUUUAUUUGUAAUUUAUUUUGAAUACUAUGUGUCUAUGGCUAUUGUUCUAUAUUUGGAUUUUGUUGAAUAUUAGUGUUUGAUUUUUUUUUUAAAUUGAAUUUUAUUCUAAUUUUGAAUAUUUAUUGUGAAUUUUCAAAAUUUUAAAAUUUUAUUAUUAUUGUGAAUACUAUGGCUAUCGACGCAGUGUGUUUGUAUAUAGAUAUAUUGAGAUAUGUAUGUUGUGAAUAAUAUGGUUAUUGUGAAUAAUAUGGCUACUGAACUCAGUUUUGGUUUAUUUCCUGUGUGUUAACCUGCCUUUGUAAUUUGUGACAACCACAUAUAUCCUAGGAGUUGUUUGUGUAUAUCCUCAGAGAAUUUUAAAUUUGCACACAACAAGAAUUUGGGAUUUUCUGCAAGUAAAAUCUCAUUUGAAGAAUGGAAUACUAAGAAGGGCUCAUUUUGGAGUUGCUUCUAUAAUUGGUGUCAUAGAUUCUGGUUAGUAUGUAAUGGUGCCCAUGGUUGUUAACAUUUACAUUGCAGUUUGGCUUAUUAUUAUUAUUCAAUUUUUGCUUAGUGCAGAGAUAUGGCCUGAAUAUGAAAGCUUUAAUGAUGAUGGAUUUCAUAGUGUUCCAUCCUAUUGGAAGAGAAUGUGCCAAGAAGGAGAAGAAUUUAAUAGUUCCAACUGUAGCAGAUUUGCAGCUUCCAGAUGAUAUAGAGUGGAGUUUCAUUGGGAAUUUAUAGAGAAA